GAUGAACGCUAGCGGGAGGCCUAACACAUGCAAGCCGAGCGGUAUUGUUUCUUCGGAAAUGAGAGAGCGGCGUACGGGUGCGUAACACGUGUGCAACCUGCCUUUAUCUGGGGGAUAGCCUUUCGAAAGGAAGAUUAAUACUCCAUAAUAUAUUGAACGGCAUCGUUUAAUAUUGAAAGCUCCGGCGGAUAGAGAUGGGCACGCGCAAGAUUAGCUAGUUGGUGAGGUAACGGCUCACCAAGGCGAUGAUCUUUAGGGGGCCUGAGAGGGUGAUCCCCCACACUGGUACUGAGACACGGACCAGACUCCUACGGGAGGCAGCAGUGAGGAAUAUUGAUCAAUGGGUGCAAGCCUGAACCAGCCAUCCCGCGUGAAGGACGACUGCCCUAUGGGUUGUAAACUUCUUUUGUAUAGGGAUAAACCUACCCUCGGGAGGGUAGCUGAAGGUACUAUACGAAUAAGCACCGGCUAACUCCGUG
RNAcentral lists this ribosomal RNA (479 nucleotides) under uncultured bacterium. Its description in RNAcentral is "partial 16S ribosomal RNA". It matches the Rfam family "Bacterial small subunit ribosomal RNA", at positions 28 to 507 of the family's 1533-position model. The record is from RNAcentral.